AGGAUGAACGCUGGCGGCGUGCUUAACACAUGCAAGUCGAACGGUGAAAGGGGAGCUUGCUCCUCUCGAUCAGUGGCGAACGGGUGAGUAACACGUGAGUAACCUGCCCUUGACUCUGGGAUAAGCACUGGAAACGGUGUCUAAUACCGGAUACGACCUCCGAAGGCAUCUUCUGGAAGUGGAAAGAAUUUCGGUCAAGGAUGGACUCGCGGCCUAUCAGCUAGUUGGUGAGGUAACGGCCCACCAAGGCGACGACGGGUAGCCGGCCUGAGAGGGUGACCGGCCACACUGGGACUGAGACACGGCCCAGACUCCUACGGGAGGCAGCAGUGGGGAAUAUUGCACAAUGGGCGCAAGCCUGAUGCAGCAACGCCGCGUGAGGGACGACGGCCUUCGGGUGUAAACCUCUUUAGUAGGGAAGAAGCGAAAGUGACGGUACCUGCAGAAAAGCACCGGCUAACUACGCGCCAGCAGCCGCGGU
RNAcentral lists this ribosomal RNA (481 nucleotides) under uncultured bacterium. Its description in RNAcentral is "SSU rRNA". It matches the Rfam family "Bacterial small subunit ribosomal RNA", at positions 26 to 521 of the family's 1533-position model. The record is from RNAcentral.